RNAcentral lists this ribosomal RNA (352 nucleotides) under Buthus occitanus (common European scorpion). Its description in RNAcentral is "partial 16S ribosomal RNA". It matches the Rfam family "Bacterial large subunit ribosomal RNA", at positions 1960 to 2550 of the family's 2925-position model. The record is from RNAcentral. Lineage: Eukaryota; Metazoa; Arthropoda; Arachnida; Scorpiones; Buthidae.
CAUAAUCAUUAGUCUUUUAAUUUGAGACUGGAAUGAAAGAGUAAACCAGGAGAAUUUCUUUUUAUCUAAGAAAAUGAAAUUUACUUUUUAGUAAAAAGGCUAAAAUAAGUCUUUUAGACAAGAAGACCCUAUAAAACUUUAUACUUUUCUUAAAGAAAUNNNUAAAGAAUAAGUAUUUCACUGGGGCGGUGGGGGAAAANANNUCUUCCCUUAAAAAGAGAAACUAACUAGUUUUAAUACCCAGAAAUUCUGAAAUAGAAAUAAGUUACUUUAGGGAUAACAGCUUAAUUCACUUAGAAAGACCAAAUUGACGAGUGAGUUUAUGACCUCGAUGUUGAAUUAAAAAUCCUUC